UGUGGGCGCAGGAAAGCUGAGGAGAGCUGCUCCUAGUACGAGAGGACCGGAGUGGACGCACCACUGGUCUCUCAGCUGUCCCACCAGGGGCAUACGCUGAGUAGCCACGCGCGGCAAGGAUAAGCGCUGAAAGCAUCUAAGCGCGAAGCCAACUCCAAGAUGAGCUUUCCCACCCCCUCGAGGGGUUAAGACCCCCGGAAGACCACCGGGUUGAUAGGCUGGAAGUGCAAGCGCGGCAACGCGUUCAGCUGACCAGUACUAAUAGGUCGAGGACUUAACCAA
This 282-nucleotide ribosomal RNA is filed under the name Pseudomonadota bacterium. Its description in RNAcentral is "Proteobacteria bacterium (soil metagenome) partial 23S ribosomal RNA". It matches the Rfam family "Bacterial large subunit ribosomal RNA", at positions 2646 to 2925 of the family's 2925-position model. The record is from RNAcentral. Lineage: Bacteria; Pseudomonadati; Pseudomonadota.